GAUAAACGCUGGCGGCGUGCUUAACACAUGCAAGUCGAACGAAGUUUUUCCUUCGGGAGACACUUAGUGGCGGACGGGUGAGUAACGCGUGGGUAACCUGCCCUGUACAGGGGGACAACAGCUGGAAACGGCUGCUAAUACCGCAUAAGCACUUAGCACUGCAUGGUGCAUAGGGAAAAGGAGCAAUCCGGUACAGGAUGGACCCGCGUCUGAUUAGCCAGUUGGCAGGGUAACGGCCUACCAAAGCGACGAUCAGUAGCCGAUCUGAGAGGAUGUACGGCCACAUUGGGACUGAGACACGGCCCAGACUCCUACGGGAGGCAGCAGUGGGGAAUAUUGCACAAUGGAGGAAACUCUGAUGCAGCGACGCCGCGUGAGUGAAGAAGUAUUUCGGUAUGUAAAGCUCCAUCAGCAGGGAAGAAAAUGACGGUACCUGACUAAGAAGCACCGGCUAAAUACGUG
RNAcentral lists this ribosomal RNA (462 nucleotides) under uncultured bacterium. RNAcentral describes it as "partial 16S ribosomal RNA". It matches the Rfam family "Bacterial small subunit ribosomal RNA", at positions 28 to 507 of the family's 1533-position model. The record is from RNAcentral.